UACGGAGGGUGCGAGCGUUGUCCGGAAUCACUGGGCGUAAAGGGCGCGUAGGCGGCUCCGGCAGUCUGUGGUGAAAGCCCAGGGCUCAACUCUGGGUCGGCCACGGAUACUCCGGGGCUGGAGCACACUAGAGGCGGAUGGAAUUCCUGGUGUAGCGGUGAAAUGCGUAGAUAUCAGGAGGAACACCUGCGGUGUAGACGGCUUUCUGGACCAUUGCUGACGCUGAGACACGAAAGCGUGGGUAGCAAACAGG
This 253-nucleotide ribosomal RNA is filed under the name uncultured bacterium. RNAcentral describes it as "partial 16S ribosomal RNA". It matches the Rfam family "Bacterial small subunit ribosomal RNA", at positions 524 to 776 of the family's 1533-position model. The record is from RNAcentral.